AUCGGAUUACUGGGCGUAAGCGCACGCAGGCGGUCUGUCAAGUCGGAUGUGAAAUCCCCGGGCUCAACCUGGGAACUGCAUUCGAAACUGGCAGGCUGGAGUCUUGUAGAGGGGGGUAGAAUUCCAGGUGUAGCGGUGAAAUGCGUAGAGAUCUGGAGGAAUACCGGUGGCGAAGGCGGCCCCCUGGACAAAGACUGACGCUCAGGUGCGAAAGCGUGGGGAGCAAACAGGAUUAGAUACCCUGGUAGUCCACGCUGUAAACGAUGUCGACUUGGAGGUUGUUCCCUUGAGGAGUGGCUUCCGGAGCUAACGCGUUAAGUCGACCGCCUGGGGAGUACGGCCGCAAGGUUAAAACUCAAAGAAAUUGACGGA
Molecule: ribosomal RNA, 372 nt
Filed under: uncultured bacterium
Lineage: Bacteria
Description: bacterial SSU rRNA
Rfam family: Bacterial small subunit ribosomal RNA
Source: RNAcentral